UACACCACCGGGGGCUGGGGGGCGUCGAUCAGCCCCCAGGGACAAUGCCAUUUGCCAGCUGCCUCCAGGAGGCGGCCAGCCCGGGCAGGGGCUCUCCCCGGCCACUCACCAUGAUGGAGAAGACGAAGGCCACGAUGUUGAUGGGGUACGCGGGGCAGAAGCAGGAGAAGAUGCUGAGGACCAGCAGCCUUCUUCAAUUGUAGAAUCAAGAAUGGAACACAGGAUUCCAGCAGCUAUCUCCCCAGUGCCAAAUACAGAGCGUCGCACUGGGAGUUCAUGUUCAGCUAACUAUCCUCCAUGCCCCUCCAAAUAUUUUUCAGAGGCACUGCUUCCCAGGAUCAAGUUCCCCAUCGUGGAUCCAACGUGAGUGCCCCGGCUGAGUACCACGGCUGCAGUAUGGCCCGGGGACCGAGG
Long non-coding RNA from Malaclemys terrapin pileata, 414 nucleotides. RefSeq lists it as uncharacterized. The record is from RefSeq and is a predicted model, not a curated record. NCBI's taxonomy places the organism in Eukaryota, Metazoa, Chordata, Testudines, Emydidae. The transcript has 4 exons.